RNAcentral lists this ribosomal RNA (440 nucleotides) under uncultured bacterium. RNAcentral describes it as "partial 16S ribosomal RNA". It matches the Rfam family "Bacterial small subunit ribosomal RNA", at positions 338 to 795 of the family's 1533-position model. The record is from RNAcentral.
CCUACGGGAUGCAGCAGUGGGGAAUAUUGCACAAUGGGGGAAACCCUGAUGCAGCGACGCCGCGUGAGUGAAGAAGUAAUUCGGUAUGUAAAGCUCUAUCAGCAGGGAAGAAAAUGACGGUACCUGAGUCAGAAGCCCCGGCUAACUACGUGCCAGCAGCCGCGGUAAUACGUAGGGGGCAAGCGUUAUCCGGAUUUACUGGGUGUAAAGGGGGCGUAGACGGCAGUGCAAGUCUGGAGUGAAAGGCGGGGGCCCAACCCCCGGACUGCUCUGGAAACUGUACGGCUGGAGUGCAGGAGAGGUAAGUGGAAUUCCUGGUGUAGCGGUGAAAUGCGUAGAUAUUAGGAGGAACACCAGUGGCGAAGGCGGCUUACUGGACUGCAACUGACGUUGAGGCUCGAAAGCGUGGGGAGCAAACAGGAUUAGAUACCCUGGUAGUC